Molecule: transfer RNA, 84 nt
Filed under: Rubrivirga litoralis
Lineage: Bacteria; Pseudomonadati; Rhodothermota; Rhodothermia; Rhodothermales; Rubricoccaceae
Also listed under: 1 other name
Description: tRNA-Leu
Rfam family: tRNA
About the family: Transfer RNA (tRNA) molecules are approximately 80 nucleotides in length. Their secondary structure includes four short double-helical elements and three loops (D, anti-codon, and T loops).
Source: RNAcentral
GCCCGGAUGGCGGAAUCGGUAGACGCAGCAGACUCAAAAUCUGCCGGCCUUCGGGUCUUGUGGGUUCGAGUCCCACUCCGGGUA